AUUGUAGGCUGCAACUCGCCUACAUGAAGUCGGAAUUGCUAGUAAUCGCGGAUCAGCAUGCCGCGGUGAAUACGUUCCCGGGCCUUGUACACACCGCCCGUCACACCAUGGGAGUCGGUAACACCCGAAGCCUGUAGUCUAACCGCAAGGGGGACGCAGUCGAAGGUGGGAUUGAUGACUGGGGUGAAGUCGUAACAAGGUACC
Molecule: ribosomal RNA, 204 nt
Filed under: uncultured bacterium
Lineage: Bacteria
Description: partial 16S ribosomal RNA
Rfam family: Bacterial small subunit ribosomal RNA
Source: RNAcentral